This 346-nucleotide ribosomal RNA is filed under the name uncultured soil bacterium. RNAcentral describes it as "bacterial SSU rRNA". It matches the Rfam family "Bacterial small subunit ribosomal RNA", at positions 26 to 386 of the family's 1533-position model. The record is from RNAcentral.
AGCCUGAACGCUGGCGGCGUGGCUAAGACAUGCAAGUCGCACGGUGUAGCAAUACACAGUGGCGAACGGGUGAGUAAUGAAUCGCUAAUGUACCCCGGACUCUGGGAUAGCUACCCGAAAGGGUAGGUAAUACCAGAUGAUAUGCAGCUGUCGCAUGACAGUUGCCUCAAAGGUCCGCCGGUCUGGGAGCAGGCGAUUUCGUAUCAGCUUGUUGGUGAGGUAACGGCUCACCAAGGCGACGACGCGUAGCCGGACUGAGAGGUUGGCCGGCCACAUUGGGACUGAGACACUGCCCAGACUCUACGGGGGCUGCAGUAACGAAUCUUCCGCAAUGCACGAAGUGUGA